This is a long non-coding RNA of Ahaetulla prasina, 866 nucleotides long. RefSeq lists it as uncharacterized. The record is from RefSeq and is a predicted model, not a curated record. The transcript is spliced from 3 exons. NCBI's taxonomy places the organism in Eukaryota, Metazoa, Chordata, Lepidosauria, Squamata, Colubridae.
GCCGGCCGCCUCCUCCCUUGGCUCGGCGGCGGCGGCUGCAGAAGAGAAACGGCGACUGGUGCACAGAGCCGCGCGGCCGGCCGCUGCCUCAUUCCAUUGGAAUGUCUGAGGAUUGGAGGAACAUUGUCCAUCGGGUCGCGAUGGGUCAGACUAACAACCACCACCACCUUAGGUUUGAUGAACAGAACAUCAAGAAACUGCUGAAUCAUAAAGGGAUACACUGACUAGAUGGCAUGAACUGCCAAUGUUUUUAAAGCAAAAAGAAGAUGGAAGGAAAGAAAGAAAAAUGAGAAAAAGGAUGAUGUUGCUUUAAGAACCACUAAUUAUAAUCAAUUAAUUAAUUAGAGCCAGUUUGGUCUAGCAUUUAACAUCCCAUGCUAGAAAUUGGGACACCUUGGUUGACUCAACCUUCCAUCCGUCCGAGGUGGGUAAAACAAGGUCCUGGAUUGUUGGGGGCAAUAUACUGACUCUGUAAACCGCUUAGAGAGGGCUACAAAGCAUUGUGAAGCGGUAUAUAAAUCUAUUGCUAUUACUACCUUGGGCCAAUCACUUUCAUGCAGCCCAAUUCAUUUCAGAGCAUUGUUGUCAUCAAAAAUAGGAGGAGUAAGAUAUAUUGGAUAUGUUCCCCACCACAAGUUAUUUAUAACAAUAAUACAGGCACGAUACAAAUAAAUUAGUCAAACAUUUAAAUUCAACCACUAUGUUUUUAGGCUCAUUCAUUGUUCUGUUCACUCGGUAUCUGAAGCAUGUCAUUUCCUAAAUAGUUCUCAUAGCCUGUGCCAUCUUGUUGUGUAUGCUAGCCCAAACACGAACAGUUGUGUGCCAUGUAUAGUAUCUGUUGCCAGGAACAAUUAAUAAAUACGAUA